CCCCUAGAUGUUCUGGGCCGCACGCGCGCUACACUGAACAGUUCAACAAGUCUUAACCUUGGCCGAUAGGUCUGGGUAAUCUUUGAACGCUGUUCGUGAUUGGGAUAGACCUUUGCAAUUAUGGGUCUUCAACGAGGAAUUCCUAGUAAACGCAAGUCAUCAGCUUGCAUUGAUUACGUCCCUGCCCUUUGUACACACCGCCCGUCGUACCUACCGAUUGAAUGGUCCGGUGAAAUCUCGGGACGGCGGCUUGGUCGCUUGCGUCCGACUGCUGAAACUUGAUUAAACCAUNUNAUUUAGNGGAAGGUGAANUCGUANCA
RNAcentral lists this ribosomal RNA (320 nucleotides) under uncultured eukaryote. RNAcentral's name for it is "partial 18S ribosomal RNA". It matches the Rfam family "Eukaryotic small subunit ribosomal RNA", at positions 1470 to 1796 of the family's 1831-position model. The record is from RNAcentral.